Molecule: ribosomal RNA, 604 nt
Filed under: uncultured bacterium
Lineage: Bacteria
Description: bacterial SSU rRNA
Rfam family: Bacterial small subunit ribosomal RNA
Source: RNAcentral
UCAGGAUGAACGCUGGCGGCGUGCCUAACACAUGCAAGUCGAGCGAAGCAUUUGGACUGCGUCCUCUUCGGAGGACAAAGACCUUAUGACUUAGCGGCGGACGGGUGAGUAACCCGUGAGGAACCUACCUCGGACAGGGGGAUAACCUGAGGAAACUCUGGCUAAUACCCCAUGAUCUAUGAAGAGAGCCUUUUCUUCAUAGCAAAGAUUUAUCGGUCUGAGAUGGCCUCGCGUCCCAUUAGCUAGUUGGUGAGAUAAGAGCUCACCAAGGCAAUGAUGGGUAGCUGAACUGAGAGGUUGACCGGCCACAUUGGGACUGAGACACGGCCCAGACUCCUACGGGAGGCAGCAGUGGGGAAUUUUGGGCAAUGGGGGAAACCCUGACCCAGCGACGCCGCGUGGAGGAUGAAGGCCUUCGGGUUGUAAACUUCUUUGGCCAGGGACGAUAAUGACUGUACCUGGAGAACAAGCCACGGCUAACUACGUGCCAGCAGCCGCGGUAAUACGUAGGUGGCAAGCGUUAUCCGGAAUUACUGGGUGUAAAGGGCGUGUAGGCGGCCUUAUAAGUUGGGUGUUUAAUUCCCGGGCUCAACCCGGGGUUGUC